This 814-nucleotide small RNA is filed under the name uncultured Phialophora. Its description in RNAcentral is "eukaryotic LSU rRNA". The stretch from base 539 to 814 matches the Rfam family "Eukaryotic large subunit ribosomal RNA", at positions 1 to 281 of the family's 3401-position model. Lineage: Eukaryota; Fungi; Ascomycota; Leotiomycetes. The record is from RNAcentral.
CUUGGUCAUUUAGAGGAAGUAAAAGUCGUAACAAGGUCUCCGUUGGUGAACCAGCGGAGGGAUCAUUACAGAGUUGAAAAACUCCAACCCCUGUGAACCUUACCAUUACUGUCGCUUCGGCGGACGAAGGCCCCCUUGGGGCUGGAUGCCGCCGGAGGUUUCAAACUCUGAAUCUUUGUGUAUCUCUGAGGAAAAAAACAAAUAAUUAAAACUUUCAACAACGGAUCUCUUGGUUCUGGCAUCGAUGAAGAACGCAGCGAAGUGCGAUAAGUAAUGUGAAUUGCAGAAUUCAGUGAAUCAUCGAAUCUUUGAACGCACAUUGCGCCCGCUGGUAUUCCGGCGGGCAUGCCUGUUCGAGCGUCAUUUCACCACUCAAGCCCAGCUUGGUGUUGGAGCACCCGGCCGCCUGGCGAUCGGGGCCCCCAAGUACAUCGGCGGUCUCGCUAGGACCCUGAGCGCAGUAACUCGCGGUAAAACGCGCCUCGCUCGGAAGUUCCCAGCGGGCUUCCAGCCGCUAAACCCCCUAAUUUUCUUAGGUUGACCUCGGAUCAGGUAGGAAUACCCGCUGAACUUAAGCAUAUCAAUAAGCGGAGGAAAAGAAACCAACAGGGAUUGCCCUAGUAACGGCGAGUGAAGCGGCAACAGCUCAAAUUUGAAAUCUGGCCCUAGGCCCGAGUUGUAAUUUGCAGAGGAUGCUUUUGGUGACGCGCUUACCGAGUCCCCUGGAACGGGGCGCCACAGAGGGUGAGAGCCCCGUAUGGUUUGACGCCGAGCCUCUGUAAAGCUCCUUCGACGAGUCGAGUUGUUUGGGAAU